GCACUGCUGACGAGUCCCAAACAGGAUGAAACAACUGUCCAGUGC
Echinostoma caproni is the source of this 45-nucleotide non-coding RNA. The record is from Rfam. NCBI's taxonomy places the organism in Eukaryota, Metazoa, Platyhelminthes, Trematoda, Plagiorchiida, Echinostomatidae.